ACUCCACUCCACUCCACUGGAAGCCAAGUAGCCAACAAGCAUUUCUGGUGUGGUGAUCCUAUCGUUCCUUCCUUGCUCUCCAGGAUAGAUGUGCAGAUGUAUGUAGCGUGUUCAUGUUCAUGAAGAUGUGCAGAUCUGGUGUGGGCCUGCAGCCAUAGCCACAGGAGGGAGAGGAGACAGAUGGGUGUUCAAUCUGAGCUUGUCGCACGGUUUUUAUUUGCUGCCGAAUGUGAUGGUUGUGAUGGUGGUGUGGAUCAUCAGUUCCGGGGGCCUGAUUGAUGGUUUGACUGAAGGACGGAGAUCGUGGUCGUGGAGCCUAAGGUCGUGCUGAUGGAUGGAGCCGUUGGUUGAUUACUUAGUUCUUCUUGGAAUUGUGAGUAGUAACAAACAAAUCGUAGCUUGCUUGGUGUGUUGCUUUGGUAAGAUAGAUGCAUUGGAGUAGCGAGUAGCUGGCUAGCUCUUAGAGAUGAAAAUCCUGGUAUUGAUGACAGGAGAGGGCAAAGCACACAAGUUGUAUUUAUGCUCAUGUAUAUGUGAUAUCUCGGUUAUAAUAUCAUAUAUAAUUGUUAUGAA
Molecule: long non-coding RNA, 573 nt
Organism: Aegilops tauschii subsp. strangulata
Lineage: Eukaryota; Viridiplantae; Streptophyta; Magnoliopsida; Poales; Poaceae
Source: RefSeq, a predicted model, not a curated record